Numida meleagris (helmeted guineafowl) is the source of this 3334-nucleotide long non-coding RNA. RefSeq lists it as uncharacterized. The transcript is spliced from 2 exons. NCBI's taxonomy places the organism in Eukaryota, Metazoa, Chordata, Aves, Galliformes, Numididae. The record is from RefSeq and is a predicted model, not a curated record.
AGGUCCUUUCCCACCUUAAAGAUUCUGCAGUUCUAUGAUUUCUCACCCCCCCCUCUCCCAGCUGCGGUUGCACAGCACUGUUUCUCUCCCUUCAAUCCUUUCUCCCAGAGGCACACCCAGCAUCACUCAUGGCUCACCUCUGCCCAACAGCUGGUCCCUGUGGGAGCAGCUGGAGCAGCUCUGCUCUGACACGGGGCAGUGCUCACAGUGGGCACCCUCCACCUCCUGCUACAAAAGCUUUGCCGUGUAAAUCCAAUAAAUAGGAAAACAUCACCUGCUCCUCUCUGGGGACAGGACGGAGGUGAGGACGUCCAGCAGUGUGGCACGGAGCUGGUGAGCGCAACCAACCCAUCGUGCUCUGCAUGCGGGGUAGGGGUGGGGACACCCCUCCUGCACCGCCCGUGGGCCAGCAGCGCCGCGUACACCCCACAUCUGUACCCGCGGUGGGCACGUCCCCCUCCCUCGCUACCAGGGAGGGGACACAACACCCCAGGGGGAGCACGCAGCUCCCGCCUACCCCGAGGGGACGCGGCAGCGCUCCCCGCAGCUCCUCCGCCGCCGCCGGUCCCGGUCCCGCUGCUGCCACCGGGCGCCCACCCCAUGGCUGCAGGACGGGCCGGGGCCGUGCCCCCACCCCCUCUGCUGCUGCUGCUGCUGGCGCUGCCCGGCCCGGGGCCGGCGGGUGAGAACACGGAGUUGCCACCCUUCUCUGCAACAGGAGGACAGCACUCCGUCCCAGAGGAUACGGUGUCACCAGUUCUCAGCGCUACAGUCAUAAUCAUUGUCACCGUUGUCAUAUCUGGGAGUGCUUACCUGUGUUUCCUGAAAUACAUCUGUUCUGGAUGCUGCAAAGCUACCCAGGUGGUACCUACCAGAAGGCUCGAUCCUAGCAGGUCUGAAGAACAAGUCUAGCCUCACCAUGGCAUCUUAUCAGGUGAUUAUUGAGCUGUGGGAAGGCACUGCUGUAACUAUGAAAUAUCAGCAAGCAAAGGAGACUGUUAUUCAAUGAGUAACAACCAACACGCCCCUAUGCUUUCAUUGAGUGUGUUAUUAUUUGGCUGGAAUAACUUUUUAAUAGUUACUCUUGAAAUUUGCUAUUUUUAAGUUAGUUGUCUGAUUCUGUUUUUAAAAGAGAGGUAGGAGGGAAUAAAGUAGUACUUAGUUCUGCUGUGCUGAAUGUAGUGACAAGACUGCAUUUUCCUAGGAUGACACAGUACUCAACCUAGAAUACAUAAGAUGAAAUGUUCAGAAUUCCUUGUGGAUGAUGGCAGCACUGAGGGAUGUGGUCUAGUGGGCACAGUGGUGAUGGGAUGAUGGUUGGACUUCAUCAUCUUAGAGGUCUUUUCCAACCUUAAUGAUCCUAUGCUUGGCUUAUUCUGUUCUGUGUUUGUUCUACUUAAUAUGAGGGAUUUGCCAUGUUAUUUCCUUUGUACAUGUAACUGGUUCUUCUUAGGUAUAAGAAAUCUUCAGAAGUUUUCUGGUGAAUUGCUAAUAUAGGUCACAUUUUCCACUACUAUUUAGCACUCUUUGAAAAUGUCUUCCAUUCUCUUAUAAUAUCUGGUUUAAUGCAUUUUUCUUGAUACUCCUCUGCUUUCGUAUUUGAUAAUGAACAGAGUUCCAGAGAUCUGCCAUUGCUACCAAACAUUCUCUAUAGGUGUGAUAAGAGAGAAAGAGAACAGGGCUGGAUACCUUGAGAAUGCUUGAAUUUGACAAUACAAGCUUGGACAAACUUUUGGAGCUCCAAAGCCCAGAGUUCGGUCUCCAUAUAUAGGUAUCUGAACAACACACGACAGCUUGCAUUACGUCAGAGGGCAAAAUAGAUGAUCUAGUGAUCCUCUGACUUUAAAUAUGUGCCAGCAAGUACCCACGUUUCUGGCAGCAAUAGAUCUUUAAAAAUCCACAUGUUGCUUUUUCCAUGCUGUUGAAACAUUUCUUAUUGCCUUGUAACCAAGCUGCUCUUGGGCAUUCAUCAGCACCUUAACUAUAUUGAACACUUCAUAAAGUUCUCAGCUGAUAACAUUAUGGCCACACAAGUGCUAUUCCUCCAAUUACAUGUCGUAUCCAGUAAGUGAAACAUGCUUGAAAUACAUUAGCUGGAGUGGGGGUGGAAGGAUGAAAUAAAAAAUGAACCUGAAGUUUUCUGACAGCAAACAUGUUGACUCUUUCCUGGGAUCAGAUGAGAAAAUGGUGUUUAGAAAAACAGAACUGCGGAAUGGCUCUUCUUGAGGUGUGUCAGCUACAGUUGAGCAGGGAAGCACUGAAAACCUUUUUUGGAAGAAAAAGAAAAUGGUGGGGUUUGCCAUGCAGCUCCAAAAGGGAAAGAACUACAGAUAUAUAAAAGUGAACAUUUGGAGAUAGCCUGUUUGUGAACCACUGGCAUCAAGUCAUUGAAAUGUGUGCUGUUUACCAUUAGCACAAUCUCUUCCCAAUUAAAACAAAAGCUAAACACACUUGCGGCCUUUGUUUUUACAGUAAGAAGCUAAAAAAAAUAAGGGAUAUUUGAAAUACCCAUGAGGAAAAUCUGAAAGAGAAACUAGCUCUCAGUUUUACAAAUCUGCAUGUGUGGGAUGAGCCAUUUCAUAGUUUUUGAAGAGCUGGAUUGCCAACAAUAGAUGCCAGGCAGGUUUUGGACCUAAUCUACAUCCUAUGGGCAUCCAGCACUCCUAAUUCCAACUGUGAAGAUGAAAUACAAGAGCCAGAACCAAUGUUUUUGUGGGAGAGAGCCAACAAAAAACAAUGCAGGCCUGCAUUCAGAUGUGGAUAUCAUUGCAUGGAUAAAAAUUGUUAUUUUUAUUCAGAUUUUACCUACUAUUUAUCAGCAGUAUUUACAUUCAAAUAAAUGGUCGUUUAUUGUGCCAAGUCAACACUGCAUAUUGUGGUUUGCCUCUGAAAUCUCCACGUAUCUCCAUAGCUCCGUGUAGCUGUCACUAAUAGUAAGAGCUGUUUUGUACCAGAUGAAGACUGACCUUGAGAAAUCUACUUCACAGCUGUGCAUAUUGGUGAAGAAAACAAAAUAAAUCUUCAUUUCUCUUUCUUUGUGUAAAAUGACCGUUGUGUUUUUGUCUGUAAGAAUUUCCAUGGCUCUUUACUUCCUUCCAGAUGGCUAUUGGUGAAUAUCAUCCAGCAAGCCUCAGUGGUCCAAGAAAAGACCAUGAGUUCUGCUGGCAGCUAUGAAUGUAUGCUGGUGGUGGACAAUCUUUUGACAGCUAUAUUGACAACACAGUAUUUAGUCUUUUGAUUGGACUGUUUUCAUUAAAACCUUGUCACACAUCCUGAACAUUUCUGACUGAUACCCCUAAAUAAAGACAUCACAUGCAUAACUGAUUCUGCUUGA